This 273-nucleotide ribosomal RNA is filed under the name Flabellina cavolini. Its description in RNAcentral is "partial 16S ribosomal RNA". The record is from RNAcentral. Lineage: Eukaryota; Metazoa; Mollusca; Gastropoda; Nudibranchia; Flabellinidae.
ACUGUUCAAAUGAAAAAGUUUGAUUUUAAUAAAAAGACGAGAAGACCCUUAGAAUUUUUUUUAAAAAGGAUUUUGUUCUUAAUGAUUUUGUUGGGGUGACAGAGAAAUAUUUAGAACUUUCUUUAAUUUUACAAGCCGAAUUUUUUAAGCAAGAAUAAAUUACCUGAGGGAUAACAGCAUUAUUCUAUAGACGAGUUUGUGACCUCGAUGUUGGACUAGGAAACUAGCAGGCUAGCCGUUUGCUGUGUGAGUUCUGUUCGAACUUUAAUUCCU